This 85-nucleotide transfer RNA is filed under the name Felis catus (domestic cat). It matches the Rfam family "tRNA". Rfam says of the family: Transfer RNA (tRNA) molecules are approximately 80 nucleotides in length. Their secondary structure includes four short double-helical elements and three loops (D, anti-codon, and T loops). Further hydrogen bonds mediate the characteristic L-shaped molecular structure. tRNAs have two regions of fundamental functional importance: the anti-codon, which is responsible for specific mRNA codon recognition, and the 3' end, to which the tRNAs corresponding amino acid is attached (by aminoacyl-tRNA synthetases). tRNAs cope with the degeneracy of the genetic code in two manners: having more than one tRNA (with a specific anti-codon) for a particular amino acid; and 'wobble' base-pairing, i.e. permitting non-standard base-pairing at the 3rd anti-codon position. The record is from Rfam by way of RNAcentral. RNAcentral also lists the same sequence under 2 other names. Lineage: Eukaryota; Metazoa; Chordata; Mammalia; Carnivora; Felidae.
GCCUGGGUGGCUCAGUCGGUUAAGCAUCUGACUUUGGCUCAGGUCAUGAGCUCACAGUUUGUGAGUUCGAGCCCCGCAUCAGGCU